GAAGAAUUCUCGCUUCCUAUUAAAACAAAUAAAAUAUUUGUUUCAAUAUAUAUAAGGGCGAACAGAAUAGUGCUUUUCCUAAAGCAAAUAUAGAGUAAAACAAUGAUAUUUUCCCUAAGAACAGUUUUCCUAGUUUUCCCGAUCAUGUUCUUAAGGGGAUUUUUAUACGAUAACUUCGAGAUGUUUACCAAAUAUGAGAGGGAUUUUGAGGUAUGUGAGUAAUAUCAGAUUUGAUUAGGAACAUAACCCUCAAGGCCACGAAAGGGAAUGACUAUAGCCGUAAUUACAAAUUUGGCCCUCAGUGCAACCUGCUAAAACCAUAAAAUUCAUUAGUCCAAAAUCAUGAGUCGAUUGAAACUUGGCCUUUAUGUAGAAAUGGGCAGUUCUUAGAAUGAAAAUGGUUAAUCUAUUUUUCGUUGGAUAUGGAUGGUUCAUCUAUUGUAUAAAAUCGUUUUAUUUCGCCUUUUUUAUAUUUUUACAUACAACUGAAACGACUCCCAGAUAAAUGCAUGUAUUAAAUAAUGCAUUAUCAGUAUGAAAGUUAAGUACUCAGUACAUUACGUCAUUUACUAUACUCAAGACCUCACUCUAAAUUCUAAAAUAAAUAGCCCAGGGCUUCAAGAGCAUGGCGACAAUUUAGUACCCAGUGCCUCAUUACACCCUCAAUAUCUGUCACGUCAUGAACGGAUGAUAAAUAUCGCUUCUCCUUAAAUUAUCUCAGUCAUGGCUUUUGAUUACUAGUGGAAAGUUUAAAUAUCCAUGUAAGCGAUAAAUUGAUUUCUAGCGCCACAUUUUUUAGCUUUUUUUGGGGAAAAUGGGAAGUUAAGGGGCCCCUACAUUUUUUCUUUCAAAUUUCGCGAGGGAUACGAUUGUAGGCGUGAAACCUUGUUUCAAACCAAUGAAAGCGAGCGAAAUUUAAACCAAUCAACGUCUACAUCAUGCUCACGUGGUAUAAAGCUUUAUAAAAAGUCUUCAAGAGGAAUCGGAUUUCCGUCAGUAAAUAAAUACAUCAAAAGAAAAAUAGAAAAAAGCCCAAAAAUGUUUAACCUGGAAAUAUAGAUGGAAUUAACAGAUUUUAUGUUAAAUAAAAUAAUUCACUAAAUUCAAAGUUUCGUUCAAAUAACAUAAAACAUGAUUAAGCUUCAUUAUAGUGAAUAGACAGGAUUAUAGCCAAAUAUUUAUUUCCUUCAAAUAAUAUAUUUCAUUGAAAUGGUCAUGCAAUCUACCAAAAGCAACAAUUGUAAAACCUCAUAUCAUUGGUCACAAUGUGUUCAUGGGUACGUUUGGAUGUAAUUACAUAUAGACCGUGUGAUAAAAGUCCCGCUAGUAAACAGCAUGGCUAAACAAUGUAAAUGCGACCUCCGGGGAAAACUCUAUUGUGCUUAUUGAAGGUAAAGUAAGGCAAGGAAUAAUGGUUUAUCGUGACCGUUUGAUUGCUAAAGGAAGUGAGGUACACCGACCGAAAGGAUUGCGCGGUGACAAUAAAGUACUUAUAAGUGAAAUAAAAGCAGUUAUAAUAAAAUAUAGUUACAAAAACACAAAAAACCUUCACUCAAAUUCUUCCCCUUUAGCCGGCGGAGUUUAACUAUCACAAUGAAUUUUAUAUUAUUAUUUCUUUAAACAACAGAUGGUCGAUCGAGACUCUUCUAAUUUUGGUAUCAUUUAAAUACCAAUUUCCAACUAAUAAUUAUGGGGAAAAAAUUACACUACUGUUGUAGGUAUAAAAGGGAAUUUCGUAAAUGUUCCAUCAUCGAAAUAUCGAUAACUGAUUUUCAUUAAUUUUACAGAGAAAUCAUGUAAAAAAAAUCUUGUGGUUUGACCAAGCUCUCUCAACAAAGAUGUGAAAAAAGCGAAGUACCCCACGAAAACAAAGAACCCCACGCAUUGAAACUUGCUAAUCUAAUAUAAGCACACAAACGUGGACCCCUGUUUGCCAUCGAUCUUUUCUCAAUAUCACUUCCUAACCACAGCCGAGUUUUGUACGAGGGACGCUAAAUUCCGAGCGAUAAUAGCCUGAUUAAGGAAGCCUACAAAUCGAUUGACUGCCAGUUCACAUGGUUUAUUGGCAACUUGAGUAGAGAUAUUGCUCUAUGAGAUAACAUGUAGCUACGAAACAAAAGUGAUACACCAAAGAAAAGCUUGCAUCACAAUAAUCUUCCGCGACUCAAUACCAAGAAGUCACCAAUCUCUAAUCAGGUAUUCCGGUAAAGGCGUUAUUAAUUUAACAGGACAAUAAUCUGAGCUUUAUCAUCCAGUAAAUAAAACAUUCAAUGUAGUUUACUUGAAGGCGAAUAGUCAGGCAAAAAGACUUCCUUAUCAAGAUUUGAUUAUUUUAUUUUUAGAAUUCAAAUACAAAAAAGUUUAGAUAUCUUCAAUUUUGAAUCUCUACUUAUUUGUGCCUUUUAUGGAUUAAAAGGCACGUUAUUGCUUCCGUAAAUAGUAGAGCCCCACUUCGUUUGAUUAACGCAGAUUUAGUUACGACUGUUCUUUGAAUAAUGCAAUACAAUUCAAUCAGUUCAAGUACAUUUUACUAAACGCCUUUAUUCGCCUUCACUCGUUUUUACGUUUUGAGGCCGAGAUGUUGCCAACGCAAAACUAAACAUCUCAAAAUGACCUCACAAGUAUUUUGUUUCUUAAAAUCCAUCGCAUCUUACAGUGUGGGCCAAAUGGGGGAAAAGAUAUGGCUUAACGUUCAGCUGCUGUUAAGCCAGAUAUUUGUCAACGAAAAAAUAUAUAGAAGAGGAACUCGUGUGUAAUCUCUUCAGAAAACUCACGAGAAAAGACAAACAUUUCUUUCAAUAAACGUAGCACUUUUCAUAUUAACAUUUUAUGUGUUUUCUAAAAAAGACAACUAACUAGAUUACAAGUUGCUUAUAGCCAGAGAUUACCUCGGUAAUGGUAUUUUCAUUAAAACAAAAACUACGAGGAAUACACUACAAACAUAAUUUUUGGCGAUGUAUAUCUUUUGGAUCAUUUGUCAAACUAAAAAAGCCCCUAACAGAUUAUUCAUCAGAUAGGGUUUUCCUUUAUUUUUCCGAAAAGUCAAGUUCGUUUGAAUAGGAUUCGAAACUGUCACACCUAAUUUCCUUUAAGUCGCGUAAAAUUUUCCAUGAAAUAAUGCACAAACAACGCGCGCGCUCAUAUAAGCGUAUACACGACCACUUUCAAUUCUGAUUACUUUGCUUGUAUAUGAUAAACAUUGAACGCAAGCCACUCACAUAAUCUCUACCUUACUCUAAGUGGCUUUUGCUACGGAAAUCUCUCACUUGUGUGUAUCGCCAACAUUUUCAUUCCUACACAAAAGUCGGUUGAUCCUUGCGUUUAUCGAGUCAGUGAUCGUGUUAUUUCAUAAAUCAAGAUUUCUUUUAAUCCGACGCCUCAAACAAACACAUGUUUAACAUGUUUAGUGAACGGCUAUGAUGCGAGCUGUGUAGCCGGAUGCUUCAUGUAAUUACAACAAUUCGCAUGUCACCUGCCUGAAGAUUUAGCCUCCACACACACGCAUGCAAAUGAGACUUAGUCCUAUAAAUGAGUCUCGACCCACGGCAAAGUCUAUACAUUUGUACGGAUCACGCCUAGCUACGCGAAGCCGUUUGAUAAAUAAAAGGCAAGAAAUACUUUUACAAAGAUGAAGUCCGUAAUUGCAGUUCUUGUUCUCUCGCUGGUUCUCGUCAACUUAACACAAGCAGCGAAGGACGAUCGAUGGAAGGCGUGCCGCAUGAAGUGCUACACCGAAAGCAAACUGUGCAUGAACAACGACUCCAAGUGUUUCGACUCCCAAUCGUGUAAUAGCUGCAUUCAACAAGUAUACAGCCCGUGUUUCAAUAGAUGCCAAGAGAUGCUCCGACGGCGAGAGGCCUUUAAACGUAUGUUCGCAUUUGACGAGGAGAAUUAAAGACCAAGAACUAUAUUCCGGACAUUCAAUUGUUUUUAUCUAAAACACUGUAAUGAUACACCGCCAAGUUCUGCAAAGACACACAUCGGAAACCUAUAUAUUUAGAUAAAAUUUCAACACUCAUUUUUGGUCUAUGAUUUUUUUUUUUUUUUUGACCUGUUUAUAAGCUGGUCAACUUUGCACCCACGUUAUUUUACGUAACGGCCAGGAAGUUUCUCAUUUGUAGAAACUAGUAACGGCAAAUCACAACUUGUGACUGAAUCACGUGGUUAGAUAGGGAGAGGAGAGGAAGGAGAAUCGCCUUCGUUCACUUAGAUACACACAAAGUGAUCUAGAAGUCACAAUUAUGAUACAACCUCCACCAAAAAAGAUUACAAAGUAUGAUAUGUGCGAAUAAAUUUAGCCAUCAUCGAC
Molecule: long non-coding RNA, 4309 nt
Organism: Nematostella vectensis (starlet sea anemone)
Lineage: Eukaryota; Metazoa; Cnidaria; Anthozoa; Actiniaria; Edwardsiidae
Exons: 4
Source: RefSeq, a predicted model, not a curated record